AGGGGCGUAGUGCAGUUGGUAGCACAUUUGAUUGUCGAUCAAAAAGUCGCGGGUUCGAGUCCCGUCGUCCCUG
RNAcentral lists this transfer RNA (73 nucleotides) under Candidatus Altarchaeales archaeon. RNAcentral describes it as "tRNA-Asp". It matches the Rfam family "tRNA". From Rfam's summary of the family: Transfer RNA (tRNA) molecules are approximately 80 nucleotides in length. Their secondary structure includes four short double-helical elements and three loops (D, anti-codon, and T loops). The record is from RNAcentral. Lineage: Archaea; Nanobdellati; Candidatus Altarchaeota; Candidatus Altarchaeia; Candidatus Altarchaeales.